GGCGAGGACUUUCAGGGAAACCAGCCCAGCCUGCAAGGCCUGAUGUCACUCCAACCCCCUGCAGAGCUGUUGAAAACUGCUGGGGAGCUUGGGUCAGGGGGCUUUCUGAGCUGAGGAGGCAUUCCUGACCACACCUAGAAGCCAGCCCAGGUGGUCACUGUGGGAACCGCGAGCACAUGCCAGGGAGACCUGCAGGCGUGAGGACAGAGAGCUUGGGGUAGAACCCAGGGUCUCCAAUGCAGCAGGCAAGCACUCCACUCAACUCCCUGCAUACCACCCCACUUUGAGUGCUCAGCAGGUAUACACUGAAUAUACACUGACGGCCCCAUUCAGUCUCCAGAACCACCCCAUGGGAUGCGAGCAUGGAGGAUCAGCCCCACUCUAGCCCUGGAAAGCCCUCUCUAGCGAAGGGAGCAGUGAGUACCUGUCCCAGGGUGACCUAGGGCAGGACUGAUGAGGACAUCCACACUGGCCCAACUGAGGAUGAACCCCAGGGCCAUCUGGCCUGGGCCUCCAGCCUCCUCCCCGGGCCUGCCCGCCAAGCUGGCAUCCCACUCCAUCCUUCCCUCUCCCUCCAGCCUUCCCCAUCCAAUUCCUUGCCAGUUUCUGGAGGGCCAUCACCAUCCAGUCCAAGCGUAAAACAAAAGGAAAGGAAAGUCCCUUGAUGCCAGAGUGACCAGCUUUUCACCCACUGAUGAGAGUGAAAGGUCCUUGGCUUGCCAGAGGUCACCACUUAGGGGUUCAAAGGUGAUAAUUAAUGUGAAGUCUGAGGUGGGUACAUUUAUUUAUUCAAUUAAUUAUUUAUUGAAUGCCUCUCUGGGAUAGGCACUGUGAAUAAAAUGGACAGAAUAGCAGGGAAUGAUGGCACACUUCUGGAAUUCGGUAUUCUGGGAGGCGGAGGCAGGAAGACUGCAGGUUCAAGUCCUGCCUGGGAAAUUUAGCAAUUGAGAGAACCUCAUCUCAAAAUAAAAAAUAAGACUGGGUGGCACAUGCCUGUAAUGGCAGCAUUCAGGAGGUAGAGCAGGAGCUCGGUUUUGAAUCACAUUCCCUCUCUAAAAGGCACUGUAGCUUUGGAGGGUCUUGAACAGGGACUGUGAGGGAUCACAAGACCAGGAAGAGCAAUGAACACUUGUGUGUUAGAUUACAGGCAGGGAGACAGUAGAGGUCACAGAGAAGUGGCUGGAUUCGAAUAUACAGGGAUGCAUGAGAUAGAUAUAUUUUUAAAAAUUUAUUUCUAGCCACUUAUUUCCCCUUUUCUAGAGACAGAAAGGCCUUAUGCAUACUAGAUAAGUAUUUUACCACUGCAGUGUGUGUGUGUGUGUGUGUGUGUGUGUGUGUGUGUGUGUGUGUGUGUAGUUAGCUAGCUGUUUGUUUGUUUGUUUGUUUUCUAGAGGAUUUUCUGGUUUUGUUUUUUAGUACCGGGGAUUCAACUCAUGAUCUUGCACUUGCCAAGCAGGCGCUGUACCGCUGAGCUAUAUAUCCCCAGUCUGGUUUUACUUUUUUAAAAAAUUGCCUCACUGUGUAGUACAGGCUGGUCUUGAACUAUGUGGCCAAUGCUGACCUCGAACUCACAGCGAUCCUCUUGCUUCAGCCUCGCAAGUGCUGUGAGUACAGGAAUACACCACCAUGUAUUGUGAUUAUGAGGUCUGUUCGUUUGUUUGUCUGUUUGUGUUUUGAGACAGGGUCUAAGUGUUCCAGGCUCUCCUUGAACUAUGUCACCGUGUAGCCCAGGCUGGCCUUGAACUAACAGCGAUCUUCUUGCCUCAGCCUACUGAGUUCUGGGAAUACAGGACUGCGCCGCCAUGCCCGGCUCCUUAAAGUACUUCAGUGUCAAAUAAGCAGGACUUGCUGCCAGGUGGAAGUGUGUGCCAACCGUCCGCGGGCUCAGAUGACUUCACGAAACAGCGCUUGCCUCGGCUUCCUUGUAUCAUCGAUGCCUGGCAGAGAACGUACUCUUCAGUGAAUCAUCAUUUGCAAAGGAUGUAUAGUAUUCUAUGUUGUAAACAGAUGAGUCACAUAUUAGUUUAUUCCAAAUAUUAGACAUGCUAGUUGUUUCACUGUUUUGCAUUAAAAUGUUUCUUUUGCAAAAUGGA
Long non-coding RNA from Cavia porcellus (domestic guinea pig), 2093 nucleotides. RefSeq lists it as uncharacterized. The record is from RefSeq and is a predicted model, not a curated record. Lineage: Eukaryota; Metazoa; Chordata; Mammalia; Rodentia; Caviidae. The transcript is spliced from 3 exons.